Molecule: long non-coding RNA, 1253 nt
Filed under: Monodelphis domestica (gray short-tailed opossum)
Lineage: Eukaryota; Metazoa; Chordata; Mammalia; Didelphimorphia; Didelphidae
Description: lncRNA (ENSMODG00000050395.1)
Source: RNAcentral
GACAAUAUCUCUGGUACUUAGACCUCAUAAGCUCUUAUGAGAAUCCAAUGAAAUAAUGUAAAUGAAAUCUUUUCAAACUGUAAAAGGGUAUCAUUGUAGUUAAAUAAUAUUGAGUAAGAGUCUGAUAAAGCUAUCAGGGGUUACUAAAUGUUGAUAGGAGGUUGAUGAAAGUUGCUGAGAUCAGUUUGGUAAACCAGCACCACUGUUUAUUACAGAGGAGAAGGUUGGAUAGGAGUAGGAGGAAGGCAAUAGGAGAUUAUAACUCUUAAUUUCUUAUAUUAUAUCUAAAUCCAAACCCUAAUCUAAAAUCUCUAAGAAUUUUCUUGCCUGACAAAACAGGCCUAACUAAACUACACUCAGCAACUAAUAUUAAAUUCACUAUCUUUCUACCUAGUUAAUAAAAUAAGACUAUCUCCUCCAAUCUCCUUAAACGGUAUCUGAAUUCAAACUGGUACUCUCUCCACGACUAGCUCUCCAUUGCAUGUAGUUUGGACAUUAUGGAUGAAGCAGAGAUGAUCUCAUGGGACACUCACUAUGGCUUCAUGGGAUGGACCAAGAUUUCUCUCAUUUGGUAAAAAUCCACCUCUCCUGUGAUGAAGUAAUGAGGCCCCGUAGGAAGGGAAAUUACAAGAAGCAAGAGAAUGAUUGACCAGGCUUGAGACUCAGAAUCCUCCUGAGCCUGGUUGAGUCAGAACUCCUAGGAACCACUCUGGAGCUGCAAGCAAGGUGAAGGAGAAAGGUGUGUGGCUGAGACUUCCUGGAAAUCCAUCCAUCCAACAACUGGCCUUGAGGAUUUACUGGCUGUACUGAGAGAAUAUCUCCAAUCUUCCUGGUGGACAGUGUGACUGGGAAAAGAUCUCUACCUUGCUGGGACAUCUGAGGACAUCAGCUGGACUCCUGUACCUGACUCGCCAAGGACCCUUUGUUUGUGACAUUCUGGUUACCUGUUGGACUUGCCCUUAGGAAUUUAUGUAAUCAGUUAAGGUGGUUAAACAGUGGCUUUAAUUAGAGGGUAAAGCAGUCAGAUUUCCCUUCUCCCAUUUUCCUUCCUCCCUUCUUAAUAUUAUUUAUAUGUGCUGUUUUCCCUUUGUAUUACCUUCCUUCCCCCUUUCCAAAAUAUAGAUUUAACAGAAGGAAUUGAGUUCUCUAAGUCCAUUUCUUCUUUCAAAAUAUCCACCAAUGGGGACUUCCAUGGGAACAAACUAUCAGACCAAUUAGAAAGAGAACACACCUUCAAAUAAGAGAGAGUUGGG